CGCCUUGCAUGUGUAUUAAGCAGCUUUCAUCUGGGGAGCUCCUAGCUGCUGGGAGGCUAAUUAGCUGCUUUCUGGGAAGAGACCUCUUCAAAAGAACCCUCUUCUCGGGCUGCUAAUGAAAGUCACCGUCUGUGCAAGGCCUCGCCAAGCUCCUUCUGUCCACUGAACGCGCCCAUGUGCGCCAAGCACUGGGUGCGGGCUGUGGUGAGCCCAUGACACCACGGUCCCCAUUACAGAGCUGUGCUCUUCGCUGGCGUAAGACCGUGGCUUCCUCGCGCGACCUCGUGUAAUUGAUGAGAAACCCUUAGCUCAGUGUCUUGCGUGGAACAAACAGUCGAUAGGUGAUAGCUAUUACUAUUCAUCUUCAGAAUAACCCUCUGAGGUAAGUGCUAUGUUAUCUCCAUUUCUCAGCUGAAGAAGUUGAAGUUCGGAGAGGUGAAGCCACUUGCCAGAGAUCACACAGUGAGUGAGGAGAAGAGCCAGGAUUUGAACUGGAUUGGUUGAACGUCAAAGCUGCACCUAAUUUUUCUGGUGCUUUUCCCUCCCUUCCCAAGAAACCCCAAGGAGGCAAGAACUCGAGGCCUCUCUCUGUAGGGUCACUAGGCAGGACGAGUUCUGCUCCUGCAUCUCUCCAACUGUGUGCCCGUGAGCUAGGCGUAGACCGCCCUGGGGGACCAACUAAUACAACUCGUCCCCACCCCCCAUUUUUCAGGUGAGAAAACUGGGGAAGGAAGUGACUGCGUAAGGUGGCAGGCCUAGUGGGCGGAUGCCCCCUCAUCACAGCAUGAGGACCGAAGACGCAGUGGACAGCAGCAGGGGCUCACCCACCCUGCUCCCUUGCAGCUGGCAUGGACACUAAGCAACAAGCAUCCUCACAAAAGAAUACACUAUCCCACAUAUUUCAAAAGCUUGCCUGCUGCCACUUCACUGUUACAGAGGCCCUACAUCAGCACGUUCCUUUUUGCGCCAACCAAAAGAAAUCCCAAGAAGAUUUUCGCUUUCGUCAGGACAGGUGAAAACUGAAAGCAGCGUUCAGCCUGUUUUGCAGCCAGCGUCCUAGGGCCUGCACACACCCUGAAUGGUGGCAGUGGCGCCACCAAGCUCCUGACCCCGGAACUAUGCCCAGCGUCAAGUUGCCAUAGGCCUGUGAGCAUCUGUGCUUCACGGCGAUGUAUCUUGUGUAUGCCUGCGUUUACCGUGUGUUACUUUAGGUUUUGUGUGCUAGUCAGUAUGAUUUGGUAGGUUCGGGGGCCUGGGAGCACUCAAAAUAUUUUCCAUAUAAAUGAAUGGUAAUAGUUUUGUGCUCUGCGCCAUUUUGGCUUAUGAUAGGAGGAACAUUUGAAUUUCUUGAACAGUGGGAGGAACCCGCACCUGGCUUCCACCUGCCAGCCCCGUCUGCCCCCCAAGGGCUGCCCCGGGGCGCUGUCGGCAGUGCUUGCAGCAGGCUGGGGCAGGGACGGUAUGCCCCUCCUACCUGCCCUGCAAGGUGCCUGGAGCGGAGGGAGAGCGCAGGACCGGCCUCACACCCUGUGGCACGCCUCCCCAGGCACCACAGUGAUUCCAGUGCACCCAUACACAGGAGGCGCUUAAGAAUGCGGCCCAGAAAAAUGGCCGUGUCCUGGCCCCGAGGCCUUGGGAAGGAGCCCACGCAGAUCUGGUUCAGGCAGCGACAAGUCCAUGGGCAACAGGCUGAGGUUCCCGAAGGCGGGACGCCGUUCUUGGGCACUGAAGGAGAUGGCUGCCAGCGAAGGGUCCAGAGUGUCUCCUCCCCUUCUCUGAAUGUGGCGCCUUCUGAAGAGGCAGGUCUCUGGGUACCAGAUGCAUAGACCUCGGUGUUCUGCCCCUUGGCCCCACCAUGUCCCCCACCUUUCAAAUGGAAUCUUUUUUUUAAAGAUUAUUUGUUGAAACAA
Phyllostomus hastatus (greater spear-nosed bat) is the source of this 1910-nucleotide long non-coding RNA. RefSeq lists it as uncharacterized. The transcript has 3 exons. The record is from RefSeq and is a predicted model, not a curated record. Lineage: Eukaryota; Metazoa; Chordata; Mammalia; Chiroptera; Phyllostomidae.